GACAGAGGUGGCGAGCGUUGUUCGGAAUUACUGGGCUUAAAGGGCGAGUAGGCGGUGGAGCAAGUCUGAGGUGGAAUCCUAUGGCUUAACCAUAGAACUGCCUUAGAAACUGUUUCACUUGAGUCAGUGUGGGGAGGGCGGAAUUCCCGGUGUAGCGGUGAAAUGCGUAGAUAUCGGGAGGAAGGCCGGUGGCGAAGGCGGCCCUCUGGCACUGUACUGACGCUGAGGCGCGAAAGCGUGGGGAGCAAACAGG
This 253-nucleotide ribosomal RNA is filed under the name uncultured bacterium. Its description in RNAcentral is "partial 16S ribosomal RNA". It matches the Rfam family "Bacterial small subunit ribosomal RNA", at positions 524 to 776 of the family's 1533-position model. The record is from RNAcentral.